GCUUAAGGCCAUAUCAGCCUGGGUACUCCCGAUCUCGUCUGAUCUCGGAAGCUAAGCAGGGUCGGGCCUGGUUAGUACUUGGAUGGGAGACCGCCUGGGAAUACCAGGUGCUGUAAGAA
RNAcentral lists this ribosomal RNA (119 nucleotides) under Salmo salar (Atlantic salmon). Lineage: Eukaryota; Metazoa; Chordata; Actinopteri; Salmoniformes; Salmonidae. The record is from RNAcentral.